Molecule: ribosomal RNA, 302 nt
Filed under: uncultured bacterium
Lineage: Bacteria
Description: partial 16S ribosomal RNA
Rfam family: Bacterial small subunit ribosomal RNA
Source: RNAcentral
GCAGUAGCCGCGGGAAUACGUAGGUGGCAAGCGUUGUCCGGAAUUAUUGGGCGUAAAGGGCUCGCAGGCGGUUUCUUAAGUCUGAUGUGAAAGCCCCCGGCUCAACCGGGGAGGGUCAUUGGAAACUGGGAAACUUGAGUGCAGAAGAGGAGAGUGGAAUUCCACGUGUAGCGGUGAAAUGCGUAGAGAUGUGGAGGAACACCAGUGGCGAAGGCGACUCUCUGGUCUGUAACUGACGCUGAGGAGCGAAAGCGUGGGGAGCGAACAGGAUUAGAGACCCGUGUAGUCCCUGUCUCUUAUAU